CCUGCACUAAACUCCGCCCUCACGUUUCCAUGCAUUGGCGCGCUUCGUUUUGGUGCUCUGCUCCCCUCCCGGCGGUGGUCAGUAGUGGGCUGCCUAGGCUGUGCAGGUGAAAACAUGGCAGGCAUGAGUGUCACGGGUCCUCGGUCCGGUUCGGCCGCCGGCCCAGUUCAACAGGGACUGAAGGAGGCUCUCAUUGAGACUCUCACGGCGAUUUUGUCCCCGGUUCAAGAAGUGCGUUCGGCAGCAGAGGAGCAGAUAAAAGUGCUGGAAGUAACCGAGGAGUUUGGUGUCCACCUGGCAGAACUCACCGUGGACCCACAGGGGGCGCUAGCCAUCCGCCAGUUGGCGUCGGUGAUCUUGAAGCAAUAUGUCGAGACACACUGGUGCUCCCAGUCCGAGAAGUUCAGGCCACCAGAAACCUCAGAUCGGGCUAAGGCUGCCAUCCGAGAGCUGCUUCCCGGAGGGCUCCGGGAAGCCAUCAGCAAGGUGCGCUCCAGCGUGGCGUACGCUGUCUCGGCCAUCGCCCACUGGGACUGGCCCGAGGCCUGGCCCCAGCUCUUCAACCUGCUGAUGGAGAUGCUGGUCAGCGGGGACGUCAACGCCGUGCACGGUGCCAUGCGGGUCCUCACAGAAUUCACACGGGAGGUUACGGACACACAAAUGCCCCUGGUUGCCCCCGUGAUUUUACCAGAGAUGUACAAGAUCUUCACCAUGGCCGAGGUCUACAGCAUCCGUACACGCUCCAGAGCUGUGGAGAUCUUCACCACCUGUGCCAACCUCAUCUGUGCCAUCGAAGAGCUGGAAAAGGGUGCUGCCAAAGCGCUGAUCUUCCCCGUGGUCCAGCAGUUCACUGAGGCGUUCGUGCAGGCCCUGCAGAUGCCUGAUGGUGCCUCCUCUGACAGUGGUCUGAAGAUGGAAGUCCUCAAGGCGGUGACGGCGCUGGUGAAGAACUUCCCCAAGCCCAUGGUGUCUUCCAUGCAGCAGAUCCUGCCCAUCGUGUGGAACACGCUCACAGAGAGCGCCUCUUUCUAUGUGAGAACAGAGGUCAACUACACGGAGGACGUGGACGAUCCCAUAGACUCGGACGGUGAGGUGCUAGGCUUUGAGAAUCUGGUGUUCAGUAUCUUUGAGUUCGUCCACACGCUGCUGGACAACAGCAAGUUCAAGAGCACGGUGAAGAAGGCCCUGCCCGAGCUCAUCUACUACGUCAUCCUCUACAUGCAGAUCACAGAGGACCAGAUCAAAGUGUGGACGGCCAACCCUCAGCAGUUUGUUGAGGACGAGGACGAUGACACCUUCUCCUACUCGGUCCGCAUCUCUGCUCAGGACCUUCUGCUGGCCGUUGCUACAGAAUUCCAGAACGAGAGUGCAGCGGCGCUGGCGGCCGCAGCCACGAGACACCUGCUGGAGGCGGAGCAGGCCAAGAACAGCGGGAACCAGCACUGGUGGAAGGUCCAUGAGGCCUGCAUGCUGGCCUUGGGCUCGGUCAAGACCAUCAUUACAGAGAACGUGAAGAAUGGCCGCAUUCAGUUCGACAUGCACGGGUUCCUGGCCAACGUCAUCCUGGCCGACCUCAACCUGGUUGCGGCGUCUCCCUUCCUAUUGGGCCGGGCCCUGUGGGCCGCCAGUCGCUUCACCACGGCCAUGUCCCCGGAGCUCAUCCAGCAGUUCCUCCAGGCCACCGUCAGCGGCCUGCAGGACAGCCAGCCGCCCUCCGUCCGCAUCUCGGCCGUCAGGGCCAUCUGGGGCUACUGUGACCAGCUGAAGCUGUCGGAGAGCACCCACGUGCUGCAGCCCUUCCUGCCCAGCAUCCUGGAAGGGCUGGUGCAGCUGGCCGCCCAGUUCAGCUCGGAGGUGCUCACGCUGGUCAUGGAGACCCUGUGCAUCGUGUGCACGGUGGACGCCGCCUUCACCACCAGCGCCGAGAACAAGAUCUGCCCGCUCACCAUCGCCAUAUUCCUCAAGUACAACAACGAUCACGUGGUGGCCUCCCUGGCGCAGGACAUCUUCAAGGAGCUGGCCCAGGUGGAGGGCUGCCAGGGGCCCAUGCAGAUGCGCCUCAUCCCCACGCUGGUCAGCAUCAUGCAGGCCCCCUCCGACAAGAUCCCGCCCGGACUUUGUGCGACCUCCAUCGACAUCUUGACCACAGUGGUGCGCAACACCAAAGCCCCUCUCUCUGAGAUGCUGGUGUGUCAGGCCUUCCCCGUGGUCGCCCAGUGCACCCUGCGCACCGAAGACAACGCAAUCAUGCAGAACGGCGGCGAGUGCCUGCGGGCCUACGUGUCCAUCGCCCUGGAGCAGGUGGGCCAGUGGCGGGACGACCAGGGCAACACGGGCCUGUGGUACGUCAUGCAGGUGGUCAACCAGCUGCUGGACCCCCGCACCUCGGAGUUCACGGCGGCGUUCGUGGGGCGCCUGGUGUCCACGCUGAUCUCGCGGGCCGGCACGGAGCUGGGCGAGCAGCUGGACCAGAUCCUGCGGGCCAUCCUCAGCAAGAUGCAGCAGGCGGAGACGCUCAGCGUGAUGCAGUCCCUGAUAAUGGUGUUUGCCCACCUGGUGCACUCCCAGCUGGACCCGCUGCUGGAGUUCCUGUGCAGCCUGCCGGGGCCCACGGGCAAGCCAGCGCUGGAGUUUGUCAUGACUGAGUGGAUGAGUCGGCAGCACCUCUUCUACGGACAGUAUGAGGGAAAAGUCAGUACGGUGGCUCUCUGCAAGCUGCUGCAGCAUGGCCUCAACACCAACGACAAGCGCCUGCAAGACAUCGUGGUGAAGGGGGAGGAGAUUAUCAACCUCGAGGAGGGCAUCCGGACACGCUCCAAAUCCGCCAAGAACCCAGAGAGGUGGACCAACAUUCCUUUGCUAGUGAAGAUUUUUAAACUCAUUAUAAACGAGCUGUCGUCUGUGGUGGAGGCCAACGCCACCCGCGCCACUGCCUCAGACUGGAGCCAAGAUUCCACCGGCAUGUGGGAGGAGCAGGAGGCCGAGGACGGGGUGGACGAUGAAGACGAGGACGAGGACGAAGGCCUGGCGGGUCAGCUGCUCUCCGACCUCAUCGCCUCCAACAAAUAUGACGAUGAUUAUUAUGAGGACGAUGAAGAGGACGACCCGGAUGCUUUGAAGGACCCCUUGUAUCAAGUUGACCUACAGGCCUACCUGACGGACUUCCUCACCCAGUUCGCCCAGCAGCCAUGUUACAGCAUGUUCUCGGGCCACCUCAACGACGCAGAGAGGAGAGCCCUACAGUCCAUAGGCCUCUAGCGCUCCGCCGGCCUCUGGCCCUCUGUAGGCCUCUGGGCCCUCUGUAGGCCUCUGGGCCUUCUGUAGGCCUCUGCCUUCUGUAGGCCUUCUGUAGGCCUCUGGGCCUUCUGUAGG
Molecule: RNA transcript, 3372 nt
Organism: Gadus macrocephalus (Pacific cod)
Lineage: Eukaryota; Metazoa; Chordata; Actinopteri; Gadiformes; Gadidae
Gene: ipo9
Gene name: importin 9
Exons: 25
Source: RefSeq, a predicted model, not a curated record